This 497-nucleotide ribosomal RNA is filed under the name uncultured bacterium. RNAcentral's name for it is "partial 16S ribosomal RNA". It matches the Rfam family "Bacterial small subunit ribosomal RNA", at positions 28 to 507 of the family's 1533-position model. The record is from RNAcentral.
GACGAACGCUGGCGGCGUGCCUAAUACAUGCAAGUUGAGCGCUGAAGGUUGGUACUUGUACCCACUGGAUGAGCAGCGAACGGGUGAGUAACGCGUGGGUAAUCUGCCUUUGAUCGGGGGACAACAUUUGGAAACGAAUGCUAAUACCGCAUAAAAACUUUAAACACAAGUUUUAAGUUUGAAUGAUGCAAUUGCAUCACUCAAAGAUGAUCCCGCGUUGUAUUAGCUAGUUGGUGAGGUAAAGGCUCACCAAGGCGAUGAUACAUAGCCGACCUGAGAGGGUGAUCGGCCAAAAUGGGAAGGGGAAAAGGAACAAAAGCAUAAGGGAGGCGGAAGGAGGGAAACGUGGGCAAUGGACGAAAGUCUGAACGAGAAACGCCGCGUGAGUGAAGAAGGUUGUAGGAUCGUAAAACUAUGUUGGUAGAGAAGAAAGAUGGUGAGAGUGGAAAGCUCAUAAAGUGACGGUAACUACCCAGAAAGGGACGGCUAACUACGUG